RNAcentral lists this long non-coding RNA (767 nucleotides) under Olea europaea subsp. europaea. The record is from RNAcentral. Lineage: Eukaryota; Viridiplantae; Streptophyta; Magnoliopsida; Lamiales; Oleaceae.
CAAGAAUUGAUCAUGGAGGAAGAUCCUCGGGAUAAAAUAAUCUCUUGGCAAACUUGCCAAUAAACGAUCCAAUAGCAAAAUUAACUUACAAUUAGUCCAGAUACUAACUCUGCUGGUUGUGCAUGCCCACACUUCCCAAAACCGUGGGCCACUUUUCUCCUAUUGGACCACCAAGAACGAACCUUUAUUCUUCAACACUAGAACUCCAAACACCUCUUCUCCAAGCUUAAGAUUUCUCAAGCUUUAUAGAUGAAGGCAGAGGGUUGUUUAGUGUUCGAAUGGCUAAAGCAAGAGAUUUAUUAAAAUAUGUAAUGGAUCUUCAAAUAAUGUUCUCUUCACUUAAAAUAAAAGCUCAACCAAUGGAAAACAAUAAAUGGGAAAAUAUUAAAUAUAUUUGUGAUUGAAUCAAUAUAUCUUUUGAAAUGAGUUUAUGAUCUUCAAAUAUUGAUCUCUAUAAUGAAUAUAAUGUUCAACCACACUUUAGAACAUUCCAUGGCUUGUGUAUUUAUAAUGGAUAGUGUUUAGGGUGAAAAGGGAUUGAAAAUCACAGUUAAAAUCGAAUCAAGAUUCUUGCUAGAUAAUAUCGCCUCCCAAGCACCAAGUAUGAACCAAGCAAGCAGCAGCCCGUCUCUCAAGCGGGCAGUUACUGUUAAGCAAGCACCAAUGAUUCUACUUCAAUUUGUGUUGCGCCACUCAAGUGCUAAUGUAAUGUACCGAAAUUUCAUAGAAUAGAAUUUAAUUUAUGUGUGCUAUAAUUUAAUAUUUUG